Molecule: ribosomal RNA, 549 nt
Filed under: uncultured bacterium
Lineage: Bacteria
Description: bacterial SSU rRNA
Rfam family: Bacterial small subunit ribosomal RNA
Source: RNAcentral
AGGGAAUCUUCGGCAAUGGACGGAAGUCUGACCGAGCAACGCCGCGUGAGUGAAGAAGGUUUUCGGAUCGUAAAGCUCUGUUGUAAGAGAAGAACGAGUGUGAGAGUGGAAAGUUCACACUGUGACGGUAUCUUACCAGAAAGGGACGGCUAACUACGUGCCAGCAGCCGCGGUAAUACGUAGGUCCCGAGCGUUGUCCGGAUUUAUUGGGCGUAAAGCGAGCGCAGGCGGUUAGAUAAGUCUGAAGUUAAAGGCUGUGGCUUAACCAUAGUACGCUUUGGAAACUGUUUAACUUGAGUGCAAGAGGGGAGAGUGGAAUUCCAUGUGUAGCGGUGAAAUGCGUAGAUAUAUGGAGGAACACCGGUGGCGAAAGCGGCUCUCUGGCUUGUAACUGACGCUGAGGCUCGAAAGCGUGGGGAGUAAACAGGAUUAGAUACCCUGGUAGUCCACGCCGUAAACGAUGAGUGCUAGGUGUUAGACCCUUUCCGGGGUUUAGUGCCGUAGCUAACGCAUUAAGCACUCCGCCUGGGGAGUACGACCGCAAGGUUG